Long non-coding RNA from Salvelinus namaycush (lake trout), 2924 nucleotides. RefSeq lists it as uncharacterized. NCBI's taxonomy places the organism in Eukaryota, Metazoa, Chordata, Actinopteri, Salmoniformes, Salmonidae. The record is from RefSeq and is a predicted model, not a curated record. The transcript is spliced from 2 exons.
GUGAUAUAUGUAUUGAUGAUUACAUUUUUUGUUUAUGUUUCGAUACAAAAUUCGCAGGAUUGGGAUACUGGAGUGUGGGUUUCUGUGAGGGGUUAUGUUGAUAACUUCAUGAUCUGUAACUCGUCCUGAGAGGUCACCAGUAGAAUAAACAAGUUAUCAUGGAAGGUGACGUCAGAUUGUGUCUUAAUGCAUGGUAGGAAAAAUUACCACAAACAGUGUGUGUGAACCUCAAAGCCCUCCCUAACCGGCUGGAAAAAGGGCAAUAAGGGUGUGCAAUUCAACAGUGGCACUUCUGAGUCUACACACUGCCAACAGUUUGGACUAAAGUAUGCAUUGAGUUACUGAUGUUUCAUUACUAGGCCACUUAUGACAGGAAAACAGGGACCGAGGGGGCUGUGAUGAUAAGUUAUUACUUGUUUUAUUUUUAUAAAUGUACAUUUUAAUAGGGAUGAUGUGUGCUAAAUUGAGAAGUUUGAAUGUGAGUUAUAGUAAGCACUAAGGACUGUUAUUCUAAAUUUGGGUUGGAUCAUUUAUAAAAUGUUUUAGUUAUGUUUUGGAUAUAGAACUGUUUAGAUUUAUUAGGUCUAUGGAAGCCCUGGAAACCUUAUCUUGUGUAUUCUCAGGUGAAAACAGAGAUAACCAAAGGCUGAAUUCCGGAGAUUGAGUGAACAUCCAGAUACACCAGGAGGGGGUGUUGGGAUAGAUUUGGUCUGGUCCACACACGGUACUCCUUACAGCAGUGGUAAAGAUCGUCAUGUCUCUCUUCGGUGGGUGCAUAAUUCUCACAAGAAGUAAGGUCCAGCUACAUAAUGGGUGAGCUUAAAAACACCAUGACAGAGGAAGCGGAGCUGAAGAGAGAGAGAUACUAGAGUCCACUGUAGACAUACAUGCAGAUGGGUUAAGUCUAGGAGAUACUUGUUCUAUUGGUUAAUGCAUCAUAUGAAAAGGAUAGAUGUUAGGGUAAUUGUACUCUAAACAACAUGUUGAAGGGAUUAAUGUGAAAGCAUAUACAGUGCUGAGUUACCUCAAGAGGAUGUAACGUUGAUAAGGGAUACGCACUUGCCUAUCAGGUGAUGUGCCUAUUAAGUGGCAAUAAAAAAGUUAAAAUGACAUGGCUUGGGAACACCUCUCAGAACCUGGGGCCGAAAGGGGAAGACUGGGCGAAAGCAUGAGGAAGCUUGUUUAGGGCUUUUAUUUUUGUGGAGUCCAGCAGAAAAGUAUCCUGGAUGCAUAGAAUUGUCAUGGUCUCAGACUUCGGGUUUCAUGAAUAUACUUAUGCAUAAAUUACUGUUAUGUUUUGUGUUUUUCAUUGCUUUGCAAGUCUUAUGCUCUUUCACUCUCUUAGGAACCAGCAGGAGAAAGUGGAAAAACUAAAAGCAGCUCAGCUGAAGUGAAGGAAGUCACCAGCUUCAGCUGGAAUAGCAUUUUGUUGUGUGAUUUCGAGAUAGAAAUAAGAUGGUGUAAUCAUAGAACAGAGGCCAUAAGUCUCUGAGUUUGAAAACCUCAUGGAAACAGCCUGAACCAGGACCAGAGGUUCCACGUCCGGUGAUCCCAGGGGACCAGGACUACAUCCGAGUGUUCCGGAGGAAGUGGAACAAGCCAAGGCGAGAGGGUCCCUACGGAGCGGGGAGGAGGCGGCUAUCACCGAGCCAUGAGGAUGCUGAUACACCAGGCGGGUGUCCGAAGGGAACGGGAGCAGAGGAGGUCGACGAGCCAGGAAGGAGCUAGGAAGAAGCCGAAGGAGAGGCGGAUAAAGGAGCAUCUUCUGAAUAUCCAGAGUCCAGGGAUAGGGAGGAGUGACAUGCCUGUUGCUCCUGAUGACAUAUCUACUCUGGCAGAUACCCCUGAUGGAGGCACUGUCCAAGGGGACGAAGAAACAACGACAGGAGAAUGGGAAGGAGACUUUCUUACCAUCGACUUCUCUGCCAUCACAUGGUCUUUCUAACAGAGUGAAAACCAGGACAGAUGAAGAACGGUAGAAUGGCCUUGACAGCAACAUCGACCAACCUAGAAGAAAUUGUAAACUCACCUCCCACAUGCACUAGUACACCAACUAAGACAAUGACAAAACCACAAGAAAGUGGGUUGAUGCAGAAAAUCUGGACAUCUUUUACCAACUGGUGUAGCCAUAAUGAAAACUACCCCAGAACCAAACAUUGACCAAACAACAUUUAGAAAAGCAAUAACAAAUGGCUGGUAUAAGGGGGCUCAGCGGGGCCAGAAAAAAGUAUACACAUAGUAUAACCAUGUACUCAAUGUAACAGUUGCUGAAUGAUAAAUGCUGUUAGACCUUCUGAAUAUCGUUUCACCUAGACAUGUAUGUGACAUAGGGUUUGUUCUCAAUCUUCUAACAGGUUUUUCACUGUCAAAAAUAGAUAUUAGAGAGGUGUCUGUGAGGAAGGGCAAUAUGUUUAGGUAUCAUAUUGAGAAUGACAAUAUAAGGGUUUAGGAUGUUUAUUGAUUUUGUUUACUAUUUUUCUUGUAUUCAACUGAGAUAAUCUCAGGUAAGGCUAAGAAAUGCACAUGCUUUAACACUAUAUGUUCUGGCUCACCAGUGUAUAUGGGAAAGUGGAGCUCAGAUUGUUCAAAUGGAUGUGAGGUUGAUUAUCUCCAUAGAGUUUCAUUAGGUGCUCCCAUUCUCAUCUAUACUGGAAAAUGUAAUUGUGUGAAACUCUGUGAGUUUCAAGGGGGGGAUUAUGUUGGAGAUUUUCCAGUCAUCUGAUGAUUUUCAGUAACCUAUACUGUUCUCUUUGAAGUAGAAAGAAUAAUCAAUAUAAGCUUAAAUAUUAGACAUAUGUAAGCAGAAUGAAGGCUAAACCUAUGUGAGUGUCCAAGCUAGAUCAACAUCGAAUUGACCAUUGGACAUGUAAAGAACAGAACGUAAGCAGAAUCUGUGUAGAUGAGGCAAGGUAAACUAACAAGAC